RNAcentral lists this ribosomal RNA (158 nucleotides) under uncultured bacterium. Its description in RNAcentral is "partial 16S ribosomal RNA". It matches the Rfam family "Bacterial small subunit ribosomal RNA", at positions 355 to 509 of the family's 1533-position model. The record is from RNAcentral.
UGAGGAAUAUUGGUCAAUGGCCGAGAGGCUGAACCAGCCAAGUCGCGUGAGGGAAGACGGUCCUAUGGAUUGUAAACCUCUUUUGUCGGGGAGCAAAAAGGCGUCACGUGUGACGCUAUGAGAGUACCCGAAGAAAAAGCAUCGGCUAACUCCGUGCC